This is a long non-coding RNA of Callorhinchus milii (elephant shark), 672 nucleotides long. RefSeq lists it as uncharacterized. The transcript has 3 exons. NCBI's taxonomy places the organism in Eukaryota, Metazoa, Chordata, Chondrichthyes, Chimaeriformes, Callorhinchidae. The record is from RefSeq and is a predicted model, not a curated record.
CUGUGUGUGUGUGUCUCCGUUUCCUUUUAGCAGUGGGGCACUCGGCGUCACCGAAAACACCAGUCCUCGUCGAUUGGUCGCCCGAUUUCCAGGAACAACGUGUACUUCCCGCCCUCUAUUCCAGGAAGAAGAAUGGCAGCACUGGGAGUGAUCAGAAAGUACACAUCAUCAUCAUCAUCACCACCACAAACAACACCACCACCAUUACAGCACCAACCAACCAAAACAUCAGCAUCACCACCAUCCCCAACUGACCUGGAAACUCAAGCUUUAGCUGCAGCAGAGACUGGGUUGAACUAUAUUUUGAUGCUCUCCCUGUUUUGUUAUUUUGGUUUCUGUGAAACCAGUUGCCUGUUGCAAGAAGCUAAUUAUAUAGGGUUAAGGUCAGCUGGACCUCUGUGUCAAAACACUUCACUUGAUUUACCGUAAAAGGGAGUAACUCUUGCGGGCGAAUUAAGGAAGUUAAAAGGUUCUGCAUUGACAACUGUACUGAUCUUAGGGGUCUUCUUCUUUUCUCUCGGAUGGAUUGGAUGUUUGUGUCUGUGUUGCUGGGCUGCAGUGGCAGGAUGUCUUUGUGGUUGCCUAAGUACCCUUCUCCCUUAUUUACAUCAAAAUAUCUGGGGGAGAACAAGUCUAUCUUUUAUAAAUAAAGGCAAAUAGAAUUGAUUCUCA